CUGAGCCACCCGGGUGCCCCAGGACCUACGUGUCUCUUAGCCCAUGCUUGGCUUUAAGUCAGGUCUACUGAGCCCCUCCGAGAAGAGGAAGUGACCCAUCAACUCCUGAACUCUAAUGGUCGAAGGUCCUUUCUGGGGCGUUCACUCCAGUGGCCGGUAACCAUUCUCAGGUCCAAGGAGGAGGUCAUCACCGCACCCAGCAGGUGACCCCUGCGGCUGGCCAGAGGGGCGUGGGCAAGGUGCCAGUCAGCAGCGACCACUGUGACUGUAAAGGCACCAGCCACCCAGGUGGGUUUGCAGUUUGCCGCUCACAGGGCCUGCCUUGCCCACAGGACUCCGAGUUCCCGGGGGCCGAGACUGCCACCAAUUUAUCCCCCGGUGCCUGGCAGGUUGGAAACAUCCAGAAAGCAUGGUCACUCGCAACUUCUAUCCAACUUGGCUAUAAAUCAGAGGCUCCACGGACCCUCUCCUUGGAUUCGAUUGUUUGCCAGAACAGCUCUCGGAACUCAGGGACACGCUAUGUUUACUGACCAAUGACAUAAUAAGGAGACAGAUGCAGAAGCUCAGAUACACAGCGGAAGGAGCCACGUGACUGCAGAGAGAAGGAGGCCGAGGUCGGAGUGACGUGUGUCCAAAUCGAGGAUUGGCCAGGGUCGCUGCCACAAGCAGGAGCCAGAAGAAGCAGGGAAGGCUGCUUCCCCAGGGCCCUGAGAGAGAGAGAACAGCCCUGCUUUAACUUCAGACUUCUGGCCUCCAGAAUCAUAAGAGAAUAAGUUCCUCUUGUUUGAAGUCA
Long non-coding RNA from Hyaena hyaena (striped hyena), 793 nucleotides. RefSeq lists it as uncharacterized. The record is from RefSeq and is a predicted model, not a curated record. The transcript has 4 exons. Lineage: Eukaryota; Metazoa; Chordata; Mammalia; Carnivora; Hyaenidae.